RNAcentral lists this ribosomal RNA (503 nucleotides) under uncultured bacterium. RNAcentral describes it as "bacterial SSU rRNA". It matches the Rfam family "Bacterial small subunit ribosomal RNA", at positions 28 to 524 of the family's 1533-position model. The record is from RNAcentral.
GACGAACGCUGGCGGCGUGGAUUAGGCAUGCAAGUCGAACGGUAUCAUCCUUUCGGGGGUGAGAGAGUGGCGAACUGGUGAGUAACACGUAGGUUAUCUACCCUCAAGACGGGGACAACCCAGGGAAACUUGGGCUAAUACCGGAUGUGAGCAACUUUUAGUUGUUUGAAAGGUGGCGUAAGCUGUCGCUUGGGGAUGAGCCUGCGCCCUAUUAGUUAGUUGGUGAGGUAACGGCUCACCUAGGCAAUGAUAGGUAGGCGGCCUUAACGGGUGGUCGCCCACACUGGGAUUGAGAUACGGCCCAGACUCCUACGGGAGGCAGCAGUCGAGAAUAGUCUACAAUGGUCGGAAGACUGAUAGUGCGACGCCGCGUGAACGAUGAAUCCCUUCGGGGUGUAAAGUUCUUUUAUAUGUGAGCAGUGCUUCUUAUAUUAACAGUAUGGGGAAGAGAUAUUAGCAUAUGAAUAAGCAACGGCUAACUCCGUGCCAGCAGCCGCGGUAAA